RNAcentral lists this unclassified non-coding RNA (343 nucleotides) under soil metagenome. RNAcentral describes it as "partial contains 5.8S ribosomal RNA, internal transcribed spacer 2, and large subunit ribosomal RNA". The stretch from base 1 to 120 matches the Rfam family "5.8S ribosomal RNA", at positions 35 to 154 of the family's 154-position model. The record is from RNAcentral.
GAUGAAGAACGCAGCGAAAUGCGAUAAGUAGUGUGAAUUGCAGAAUUCAGUGAAUCAUCGAAUCUUUGAACGCACAUUGCGCCCGCCAGUAUUCUGGCGGGCAUGCCUGUUCGAGCGUCAUUUCAACCCUCAGGACCCUUUGGACCUGGUGUUGGGGCUCGGCCGCUACCCCGCGGCCGUCCCCGAAAGAUAGUGGCGGUCUCGCUGUAGCGUCCUCUGCGUAGUAAUUACACCUCGCACUGGAACGCGGCGCGGCCACGCCGUUAAACACCCCACUUCUCAAGGUUGACCUCGGAUCAGGUAGGAAUACCCGCUGAACUUAAGCAUAUCAAUAAGCGGAGGA